Quercus lobata is the source of this 530-nucleotide long non-coding RNA. RefSeq lists it as uncharacterized. NCBI's taxonomy places the organism in Eukaryota, Viridiplantae, Streptophyta, Magnoliopsida, Fagales, Fagaceae. The record is from RefSeq and is a predicted model, not a curated record. The transcript is spliced from 2 exons.
AUCAUAUACUAUAUUGGAUAGAAGAAGCUUUUUUCUGCAAUUAAGGAAAUUCUGUCAUAUAGGAAAAAUGCCCCCUUAAAAACCUGCCAUAUCUACAGCUCAACCCAGUCAAAAGCCCGAUCAAUACAUCGUUUGAAAGCCCAAUCGUUACACCCGUAUAAGGAAAAUAAAAAGCAUAAAAACCCAAAAAAAGGUUCAGGGAGGGAGACAUGUAACGCUGAAUUAUUAAACAGCGAGACGGGGAGAAAGAGAACGAUAGAAUGAGAGAUUCGGUCAAGCAUAGAGAGUGGAGAGAAGAAAAUCUGAGAAGACAGUCAGGCCUCUGCCAUCAGAUCCCGUAUCUUCCACCGAAUAGUGCAAAACAUUGAGCUACAGUCUACAAUGCACUAGCUUCCACCACAAGAGGAUGGAAAAAGCUCCAUUUUUUGUCCAACAAUAACCUAUCCUUGAUGCAAUUGUGUAAUAUUAUUUGCAAUACAAUAUAUGUUUUUGGGGGGUGUGGGGGGAAGCAAAGAUAAGUUAUUUCAUUA